UGUAUUUAUAGGAUAUGUGAAUUCCGGAGACUAAAAAAGAAAUAACUUAUACUUAAUUUCCAAAUCUGUGAAGUAUGAACUCCACCCCAGAAGCAAUUCCCAAGGGGCCAUAACAGCAUCCAGCAAAGGUGUUACUCCAAAAUCAUCACCAGAAACUGUGUUAUCGUUGCGCUGAGGAAAAUAUGCACCAAAGAAGGAACUGAUCCUCUCCCUGCACUCUCCUGCAGCCUCUCCAUUUCUGCAAAUGGAAGAUAGAUGUGUGGAACUCCCGUUGACAUCAAGAAGAGAACUGAAGAAAUGUACAGGUAGUGCAGCUUAAAGGGAAUCUUACUGCUAG
Long non-coding RNA from Gallus gallus (chicken), 337 nucleotides. NCBI's taxonomy places the organism in Eukaryota, Metazoa, Chordata, Aves, Galliformes, Phasianidae. The record is from Ensembl.